CCUGGUUCAAGUAAUCCAGGAUAGGCUGG
RNAcentral lists this microRNA (29 nucleotides) under Vombatus ursinus (common wombat). RNAcentral describes it as "miRNA (ENSVURG00010016767.1)". Lineage: Eukaryota; Metazoa; Chordata; Mammalia; Diprotodontia; Vombatidae. The record is from RNAcentral.